GUCGAGAAUCUUUCACAAUGGGGGCAACCCUGAUGGAGCGACGCCGCGUGGAGGAUAAGGUCUUCGGAUUGUAAACUCCUGUCAUGCGUGAACAAGGUUGCUUGGUUAAUACCUGGGCAAAUUGAUGGUAACGCAAGAGGAAGAGACGGCUAACUCUGUGCCAGCAGCCGCGGUAAUACAGAGGUCUCAAGCGUUGUUCGGAAUCACUGGGCGUAAAGGGUGCGUAGGUGGCGUGGUAAGUCAGAUGGGAAAGCCCGAGGCUCAACCUCGGAACUGCAUCCGAUACUGCCAUGCUAGAGUACUGGAGAGGUGACUAGAAUUCUCGGUGUAGCAGUGAAAUGCGUAGAUAUCGAGAGGAAUACCAAAGGCGUAGGCAGGUCACUGGACAGUUACUGACACUGAGGCACGAAGGCCAGGGGAGCGAACGGGAUUAGAAACCCGUGUAGUCC
This 449-nucleotide ribosomal RNA is filed under the name uncultured bacterium. Its description in RNAcentral is "partial 16S ribosomal RNA". It matches the Rfam family "Bacterial small subunit ribosomal RNA", at positions 354 to 796 of the family's 1533-position model. The record is from RNAcentral.